GUAGGUGAACCUGCGGAGGGAUCGUUACAAGUGACCCCGGCUACGGCCGGGAUGUUCAUAACCCUUUGUUGUCCGACUCUGUUGCCUCCUGGGCGACCCUGCCUUCGGGCGGGGGCUCCGGGUGGACACUUCAAACUCUUGCGUAACUUUGCAGUCUGAGUAAACUUAAUUAAUAAAUUAAAACUUUUAACAACGGAUCUCUUGGUUCUG
RNAcentral lists this unclassified non-coding RNA (210 nucleotides) under rhizosphere metagenome. RNAcentral describes it as "partial ribosomal RNA internal transcribed spacer region". The record is from RNAcentral.